Molecule: long non-coding RNA, 3189 nt
Organism: Rattus norvegicus (Norway rat)
Lineage: Eukaryota; Metazoa; Chordata; Mammalia; Rodentia; Muridae
Source: RefSeq, a predicted model, not a curated record
AAAGAGAGAUUGCUGCUUGUGUGCAGAAAGAAAGGUUCCUGAAUAAACUGCUUUGAGAAGAACGCUGUGUCGUCGCUCUUUUCUGCGGGUAGGAGACAGAAGCGAUAAGUGGUAGUCCAUAUGGGGACAUUCGUUCAGAACUCAUCACGGUCAGGGCAGCUAGCCAGUAAGUUUCCAGAGCUGGGGACCAAACUCAGGACCUUGUGCUUGCUAGGCAAGCGCUCUAUCACUGAGCUAAAUCCCCAACCCCACUGACUCUCUUUCUAACAGAUGUGUUGAUCUCUACAACACUAAAAGAUCCAUGUUUUGUUCAGCCAGCAUCAUAGAAACUUCAUCCUACAGGAGACGAUGAAUAAUACAGAGACCCACAAAUGAACUGAAUGUGCAGAAACACACCCCUGUGUAAACAGAUUUUUUUCCUGUGACCCUUGAAGAAGGUAUCUGAAGAUUCUCUAUCAGAACGGCCAGCCUAACUUGUGGAAUGUGAAGGCAAAGGAGUUUGCAUUCUGGAACUAACUUCACUUCUGCCAAGGCGUGUGUGAGUAUCUCGGAGUGGCUUGUCUUCUGACCCCUUGUCCAUUACUGUCUCCAGACACUCUGAGAUGCAACUUGUGAGCAUACUUCCACUUCACAUUGCUGUCUGCAGACCUUGCUGACUCACCCUCCUGCUGUCCACUCUCUAUCCUUAUACACCUGUCUCCAGUUUCACACUGUCCCUGGGUGCUCACAGCCACUCUGGUGGUUUCACUUCUGACAUGUUAAAUGAAAGCACUGGAAGCUCAAUCCCCAGCUCCCUUGAACUUCAUCCCCACAUUCGGCUGCCUUUUCUAGCAUCUGCCUUGAAUGUCCUCCAAGCUCCGCAAACCCAACCACUUAAACAGCAGAGCUUCUUUUUAACCUCUUUCCCAGCUGCUACUCUAUUGUCCCUAAGUGUGUUUUCUUGGACAACAGUGCUGUUAUCUAUGUUAAGCUUCUAAUACUUCAGGGUCAUUUUGGGAGUCCCUUCAUCUGUUAUCUCCAUUGCUAAAUCAACCCUCAGUUCCUGUGGGUUCUUAGAGGUUGAAGAGUCUUGGUAACAAGACACAUCUGUCCUUCAAUAAAUACACCAAGCAUAGCUAUUCUUGCCUGCCUUUAAUUCUUCCUUAGUCUAGAACCUUCACCUUCUCCCUUUCUUACUAACAGAAAAUAAAUCUCUUUGGCUAACCCCCAAUAUCUAUGUCUUCAAAUAGUCUGCAAAUAUAAUGUAGACCUAGCUAUUAGUUCCCCACUUACAAAAGGAAAGUAAAAAUAGAGUUUACAAUCUUUAGCAUUGUAGACCCAGAUCUUCACUCCUGACUCCAGUGGACAUUUCUAAUUACAAUAUACAGAUACUUUAAUCUAUCACACGCAUUAUCAACUUACCCAGAGGACAGUCUCAGCUCAGUAUUUAGUUGAAAUUUAACACUAAUUGACUUUUUUAAAAAAAAGUCAUUGACUGUAUUGUUGGUCUUUACUGGAAUUUUAUAGUAGAUAAAGAAAAUUCGUUGCAGAACUUGAAAACACUUUCUCUCCAAAACCACAGCCUUCACAGAAGCUGUUAAAUAUUCUAGCUUCUCCAGCUUGACUUUUGGGCUCUCUUCCUAUCACCACCUUGGCUUCAUUUGCUCUGUUAGCUCUUUCCAGCUGGGUAUUCUCUUCCUCACACUUCUUCAGAUUAGGAAUUACAGUUGUAACCAUUUAGUACAAUUGAGCAACUAGGUAGAAAAAUAAACAACAGCAAGGGGAGGAGGGAGGGUGAUGGAAUUUCUAACUCAUUUUCCUUGGGUUUGGAUGUUGACUCUAGAGAUGCACAAAAAGAAGGCAGCAGAGAGACCUGUAGAGAGGCAUUUUAUUAAUUCAGAAGAAAUGGUGGUUUGGGGGAUCAUGAUGGUAAAGAUUCAGAUGGGUUUGAUGGCAAGAUUCUGGAUCUAUAUUGAGAGCCACACCACUGGGAAUUUAAGAGUGAGAAAUCAAGCACCACCCAGCUGCCUCCACAGUUAUACAUCUUUCUAUUAACUGGCAAAAGAAAUAUAUUGGGUAAAUUUAGCUUGAGAUAUCAAAAUCUCAGUUGGGGUAAAAAUCCAUUAGAGAGGUCUUUUCAUCAUACAAGAUGGUAUGUUUAAUCUAGAGAUCAAAGUUGGCCAUCAUUAAUGUAUCAUUAACAUAUGAAUUUCAAAUCAUGCCAUUGGUGAGGGGAUCAGUAUCGGGGACAGAGAGUGAGAAUUGAGGAUGGAAACUAGAAAGUCUUGACAAUUUCCAUCAUUCCCUGCUCAAAAUCACAUGGGAGAAUCAGAGAGGAGGCCAAGGAACCAAUGGCAAAGGAUGCAGAAACCCAAGAGAGGACAGUGUCCUAGAAGACAAGAGUCAUCGCAAGGAGCAAAUGAUAGUUGCCACCAAAUUGAAAAAGAAGAAACCUGGUUAAAAUGGAUUCUAGAGACUGUAGGAAGAGAGAAAUCGCAAGCUGUGAGUAUAAACAGUUCUUUUGAGGAGUUUUGUGAGAGAAACAGGAAAAUUAUUAGAAACCAAGGUUUGAGAAAAUGAAUAGAGGGGGAGUUCUUUCUUCCUUUCUUUUCUUUCUUUCUUUCUUUCUUUCUUUCUUUCUUUCUCCCUUUCUUUCUUUCUUUCUUUCUUCCUUCCUUCCUUUCUUUUUUUCUUUCUUUCAUCUUCUCAAUUGUUUUAAUAUAAAAAUAUGUUUGAGUGUUGAUGAAAUGGUCCACAGAGGGUAUGGGGUUUAUUAACGUAAGAGAUGAAUGGAAAAUUCCAGGAUCAGCAGGAAGUGGUAACCUAGGAACUUAGCCCCCCAACACUCAGGAGCCAAAACCAGGGCAAUAGUGAUUUUGAGGCCAGACUUGGCUAGGUGAUGACAGGGUAUCUCACGAGAAAAAGGAAGGAGAAAAAUAAGUUCCUGGAGCAGAAUCUGAGCUGGUAAAAGAACAUGGAAUGUGUUGUGCAGGCAUUGGGCAUGUUAGUCUGUCUGUAUUAACAGAAUCAAGGUUUAUCUUUAUUUGCCUUCAGCAGAACAUAGCUUUACUUGUAGUUGAUAUUAAGUGAGUGUAUAGCUAAUAAUUUGAUUUUUCAUCACUGAAGGAAAGGAGAAAUGCUUACUCUUGUAUUUUCUCAUUCUCUCGCUUCCUCACCAUAUCGUUUAACCAUAGUCCUUUCUAUUGUGUC